UACAUGUGGGGCAAGCGUUGUUCGGAAUUACUGGGCCUAAAGGGUGCGUAGGUGGUUUGUUAAGUCAGGGGUGAAAUCCCGCGGCCCAACCGUGGAACUGCCUUUGAUACUGGCGAACUUGAGUGCGUGAGGGGUAGGGGGAACGAGCAGUGUAGCGGUGAAAUGCGUAGAUAUUGCUCGGAAGGCCAGAGCCGAAGGGGACCUACUGGUGCGUAACUGACACUGAGGCACGAAAGCGUGGGGAGCAAACAGG
RNAcentral lists this ribosomal RNA (253 nucleotides) under uncultured bacterium. RNAcentral's name for it is "partial 16S ribosomal RNA". It matches the Rfam family "Bacterial small subunit ribosomal RNA", at positions 524 to 776 of the family's 1533-position model. The record is from RNAcentral.